Long non-coding RNA from Humulus lupulus (European hop), 289 nucleotides. RefSeq lists it as uncharacterized. The transcript is spliced from 3 exons. Lineage: Eukaryota; Viridiplantae; Streptophyta; Magnoliopsida; Rosales; Cannabaceae. The record is from RefSeq and is a predicted model, not a curated record.
AAAUGGUGUUAUAUUCAGAUUAUACUUGAUUGUCAUUGCCAUUUAUGGUGGCAUCCAAUUUUUCAUUAGUUUCAUGAUGUGAAUUCCUGCCUGUCACCGACUGACUAAUCAAUGUGAUCGCUAGCCUUUAAUUUGUUUCGUCAAAUGGAUGCGCCAGGAACGCUAUUAUGUUGGGCGUGGAAUGUAUGAAAGGACCACUGAUUUUAUCAAAUCAAGCCAUUGGUAAAACCAACUCGGACAGUAGUAAAUAUGGAUACCAUACAAUAUUCUUGGCAUGAUUUUGUAUCUC